RNAcentral lists this transfer RNA (63 nucleotides) under Chromodoris magnifica. RNAcentral describes it as "tRNA-Arg". Lineage: Eukaryota; Metazoa; Mollusca; Gastropoda; Nudibranchia; Chromodorididae. The record is from RNAcentral.
UACUUGAAAGCGAAUAUUUGCACUAAGUUUCGGCCUUAGCUUUGAGAACCAUCUCUCAGGUAA